RNAcentral lists this ribosomal RNA (250 nucleotides) under uncultured bacterium. RNAcentral describes it as "partial 16S ribosomal RNA". It matches the Rfam family "Bacterial small subunit ribosomal RNA", at positions 524 to 773 of the family's 1533-position model. The record is from RNAcentral.
UACGAAGGGGGCAAGCGUUGUUCGGAAUUACUGGGCGUAAAGGGCGCGUAGGCGGAUCUGUGCGUCAGAGGUGAAAGCCCUGGGCUCAACCCGGGAAUGGCCUUUGAAACGGCGGGUCUUGAGUGAGGGAGAGGAGUGCGGAAUACCCAGUGUAGAGGUGAAAUUCGUAGAUAUUGGGUAGAACACCGGUGGCGAAGGCGGCACUCUGGCCCUUAACUGACGCUGAGGCGCGAAAGCGUGGGGAGCAAAC